Molecule: ribosomal RNA, 258 nt
Filed under: uncultured bacterium
Lineage: Bacteria
Description: partial 16S ribosomal RNA
Rfam family: Bacterial small subunit ribosomal RNA
Source: RNAcentral
CGGUUGAACCUUGAGUAAAGUGGCGAACGGGUGAGGAACACGUAGGUGACCUGCCCUCAGGAGGGGAACAACCGCUGGAAACGGUGGCUAAAACCCCAUAAGCUCACGGGAAUCAGAACCCUGUGAGAAAACACUCCGGUGCCUGAGGAGGGGCCUGCGGCCCAUCAGCUAGCUGGUAGGGUAAUGGCCUACCAGGGCGAAGACGGGUAGGGGACCUGAGAGGGUGACCCCCCACACGGGAACUGAGACACGGUCCCG